Molecule: long non-coding RNA, 257 nt
Filed under: Capsella rubella
Lineage: Eukaryota; Viridiplantae; Streptophyta; Magnoliopsida; Brassicales; Brassicaceae
Description: long non-coding RNA (CRUB_LNC005177)
Source: RNAcentral
UUUUUUUAAGAGUGAGAGAAUUAAAAUCAUAAAUGAAGAUAAACCCAAAAAAAAAUGUAUAUCUAUAUUUGUCAUAUAACCCAUAAAAUCAACCUUCCCAUGUGGUGUAUCCCAUUGUGACAAUGAUUUUAAUAGAUAAGCAAGAGUAAUUUUAAUAGAUAGACAAUGAUUUUAAUGUAUAUAAUUAUAACUAAGAGAAAAAAGUAAAUCUAUUGUGUAUAAAUGAUAUUAAUAGAUAGGAGGAAAAAAUAGGAAUG